UGGCUCUCGCAUCGAUGAAGAACGCAGCGAAAUGCGAUAAGUAAUGUGAAUUGCAGAAUUCAGUGAAUCAUCGAAUCUUUGAACGCACCUUGCGCUCCUUGGUAUUCCGAGGAGCAUGCCUGUUUGAGUGUCAUGAAAUCUUCAACUUGCAAGUUCUUUGUUUGGGCUUGUAGGCUUGGACUUGGAGGCUUUGUCGGCUGUUUCCUAUCAGUCGGCUCCUCUUAAAUGCAUUAGCUUGAUUCCUUGCGGAUCGGCUGUCGGUGUGAUAAUGUCUACGCCGCGACCGUGAAGCGUUUUGGCAAGCUUCUAACCGUCUCGUUUUGAGACAAACUUUAUGACUCUGACCUCAAAUCAGGUAGGACUACCCGCUGA
RNAcentral lists this unclassified non-coding RNA (372 nucleotides) under uncultured fungus. RNAcentral describes it as "partial contains 5.8S ribosomal RNA and internal transcribed spacer 2". The stretch from base 1 to 133 matches the Rfam family "5.8S ribosomal RNA", at positions 22 to 154 of the family's 154-position model. Lineage: Eukaryota; Fungi. The record is from RNAcentral.